Molecule: microRNA precursor, 91 nt
Filed under: Tursiops truncatus (common bottlenose dolphin)
Lineage: Eukaryota; Metazoa; Chordata; Mammalia; Artiodactyla; Delphinidae
Description: miRNA (ENSTTRG00000022312.1)
Source: RNAcentral
UGUAUAUAAAUGUGUGUGUGCUAUAUAUAUGUGUGUGAUAUAUAUACCACACACACACACACACACACACACACACACACACACACACACA